Molecule: ribosomal RNA, 751 nt
Filed under: uncultured Pseudomonadota bacterium
Lineage: Bacteria; Pseudomonadati; Pseudomonadota
Description: bacterial SSU rRNA
Rfam family: Bacterial small subunit ribosomal RNA
Source: RNAcentral
GUUUGAUCCUGGCUCAGAGUGAACGCUGGCGGUAGGCCUAACACAUGCAAGCCGAACGGCAGCACAGAGGAGCUUGCUCCUUGGGUGGCGAGUGGCGGACGGGUGAGGAAUACAUCGGAAUCUACUCUGUCGUGGGGGAUAACGUAGGGAAACUUACGCUAAUACCGCAUACGACCUACGGGUGAAAGCAGGGGAUCUUCGGACCUUGCGCGAUUGAAUGAGCCGAUGUCGGAUUAGCUAGUUGGCGGGGUAAAGGCCCACCAAGGCGACGAUCCGUAGCUGGUCUGAGAGGAUGAUCAGCCACACUGGAACUGAGACACGGUCCAGACUCCUACGGGAGGCAGCAGUGGGGAAUAUUGGACAAUGGGCGCAAGCCUGAUCCAGCCAUACCGCGUGGGUGAAGAAGGCCUUCGGGUUGUAAAGCCCUUUUGUUGGGAAAGAAAUCCAGCUGGCUAAUACCCGGUUGGGAUGACGGUACCCAAAGAAUAAGCACCGGCUAACUUCGUGCCAGCAGCCGCGGUAAUACGAAGGGUGCAAGCGUUACUCGGAAUUACUGGGCGUAAAGCGUGCGUAGGUGGUCGUUUAAGUCCGUUGUGAAAGCCCUGGGCUCAACCUGGGAACUGCAGUGGAUACUGGGCGACUAGAGUGUGGUAGAGGGUAGCGGAAUUCCUGGUGUAGCAGUGAAAUGCGUAGAGAUCAGGAGGAACAUCCAUGGCGAUGCAGCUACCUGGACCAACACUGACACUGAGGC